RNAcentral lists this ribosomal RNA (253 nucleotides) under uncultured bacterium. RNAcentral describes it as "partial 16S ribosomal RNA". It matches the Rfam family "Bacterial small subunit ribosomal RNA", at positions 524 to 776 of the family's 1533-position model. The record is from RNAcentral.
GACGAACCGUGCGAACGUUGUUCGGAUUCACUGGGCUUAAAGGGCGCGUAGGCGGCUUGCCAAGUCAGGGGUGAAAUCUUUCGGCUCAACCGGAAAACAGCUUCUGAUACUGGCGGGCUUGAGGAGGGUAGGGGCAGAUGGAACUUCCGGUGGAGCGGUGAAAUGCGUAGAUAUCGGAAGGAACGCCGGUGGCGAAAGCGAUCUGCUGGACCAUCUCUGACGCUGAGGCGCGAAAGCCAGGGGAGCAAACGGG